Molecule: ribosomal RNA, 415 nt
Filed under: uncultured Bifidobacterium sp.
Lineage: Bacteria; Bacillati; Actinomycetota; Actinomycetes; Bifidobacteriales; Bifidobacteriaceae
Description: bacterial SSU rRNA
Rfam family: Bacterial small subunit ribosomal RNA
Source: RNAcentral
UCGCGGUAUGGGAUGGGGUCGCGUCCUAUCAGCUUGACGGCGGGGUAACGGCCCACCGUGGCUUCGACGGGUAGCCGGCCUGAGAGGGCGACCGGCCACAUUGGGACUGAGAUACGGCCCAGACUCCUACGGGGGGCAGCAGUGGGGAAUAUUGCACAAUGGGCGCAAGCCUGAUGCAGCGACGCCGCGUGAGGGAUGGAGGCCUUCGGGUUGUAAACCUCUUUUAUCGGGGAGCAAGCGAGAGUGAGUUUACCCGUUGAAUAAGCACCGGCUAACUACGUGCCAGCAGCCGCGGUAAUACGUAGGGUGCAAGCGUUAUCCGGAAUUAUUGGGCGUAAAGGGCUCGUAGGCGGUUCGUCGCGUCCGGUGUGAAAGUCCAUCGCUUAACGGUGGAUCCGCGCCGGGUACGGGCGGG